This 516-nucleotide ribosomal RNA is filed under the name uncultured bacterium. Its description in RNAcentral is "bacterial SSU rRNA". It matches the Rfam family "Bacterial small subunit ribosomal RNA", at positions 26 to 518 of the family's 1533-position model. The record is from RNAcentral.
AGGACGAACGCUGGCGGCGUGCCUAACACAUGCAAGUCGAACGGGGGUUUGCUUCGGUAGAACCUAGUGGCGAACGGGUGAGUAACGCGUAGGCAACCUGCCCCCCGGAUGGGACAACACCCCGAAAGGGGUGCUAAUACCGGAUACGAAGAUAAUACCGCAUGGUGUUAUUUUGAAAGAUGGCCUCUACAGGUAAGCUAUCGCCGGGGGGAUGGGCCUGCGUCCGAUUAGCUGGUUGGUGGGGUAACGGCCCACCAAGGCGACGAUCGGUAGCCGGUCUGAGAGGAUGAACGGCCACAUUGGGACUGAGACACGGCCCAGACUCCUACGGGAGGCAGCAGUGGGGAAUCUUCCGCAAUGGGCGCAAGCCUGACGGAGCAACGCCGCGUGAGUGAGGAAGUUUUUCGGAACGUUAAAAAGCUCUGUUGUACAUGACGAACGUGCGAUCUGUCAACAACGGAUGGCAGUGACGGUAGUGUACGAGGAAGCCACGGCUAACUACGUGCCAGCAGCUGC